RNAcentral lists this ribosomal RNA (494 nucleotides) under uncultured bacterium. RNAcentral's name for it is "partial 16S ribosomal RNA". It matches the Rfam family "Bacterial small subunit ribosomal RNA", at positions 28 to 507 of the family's 1533-position model. The record is from RNAcentral.
GACGAACGCUGGCGGCGUGCUUAACACAUGCAAGUCGAACGGAAAGGCCUGCUUUCCCUUGUGGAUUGCGGGUACUCGAGUGGCGAACGGGUGAGUAACGCGUGAGUGAUCUGCCCCCAACUUGGGUAUAAGCCUGGGAAACUGGGUCUAAUUCCCGAUAGGACUGCAGGGUGGUGCCUGUGGUGGAAAACGAUUUUCUAGUGGUUGGGGAUGAGCUCGCGGCCUUUCAGCUUGUUGGUGGGGUAAUGGCCUACCAAGGCGGCGACGGGUAGCCGGCCUGAGAGGGUGGACGGCCACAUUGGGACUGAGAUACGGCCCAGACUCCUACGGGAGGCAGCAGUGGGGAAUAUUGCACAAUGGGCGGAAGCCUGAUGCAGCGACGCCGCGUGGGGGAUGACGGCCUUCGGGUUGUAAACUCCUUUCGACCGCGAGGAAGCCACCUGGUUGGAAGGGUGGUGACGGUAGUGGUAGAAGAAGCACCGGCUAACUACGUG